Molecule: long non-coding RNA, 542 nt
Organism: Xenopus laevis (African clawed frog)
Lineage: Eukaryota; Metazoa; Chordata; Amphibia; Anura; Pipidae
Exons: 3
Source: RefSeq, a predicted model, not a curated record
AUAUAAAACCUUUUAGACUAAAUUAGAAGUAUGGCAAACAUAAUAUAAUUAACAUAAAACAAUACAGAGAAUAAACCCUUAAGCCAACAUGUCAGCCUAAAAUUUCAGUAUAAAAUCUCUCUGGCAAAAAGAUCAUUGCAUGUUGGCCACUUGAUUUGAAAUUUGUUUUUGUCUUUUCAGAUUUACUCAAACAGCUGCUGUGCUUGAAAAUCUUAUUACUUCCAUGACUCAGCAGUUGACUUCUGCAAUUCAACCAAAUUUUGCUGGAACAUUGCUCGCUGCCAUAAAUAAUCCCGUUGGCUGCCUUGCAAAUCAAGGGUAACACUGAAAAUUAAAGCAUAUGGAAUUUCCGUGAGGAUAAGUCUCAGGGUGAAUAUUUACUUUGCACCGACUGAUUUAUUUAGGCUGUGGGAGAUUCCUCUACAUUAUGGGUCGUUGGGUCUGUACUCUAAACUGUGAAGUCAGCAUUGUUUCUAAUUGUCAUGCAGAUUUCACUUCUUUAAUAAAGGCAGACACUACAUUGCAAUAUUGCCUUGUCAUUU